CCCUGUCUGUGUCCAUGUCAGUGUUUGUCUCCCUGUCUGUGUCCAUGUCAGUGUGUGUGUGUGUGUGUGUCUGUACAUUAAAGGAUCAUGUUCAGAGACCCUCCUAUCACUUUGCUCGUAGGUCUCCAUUUGAAAACCCCAAAUCCUGAUGAGUCUUUAGGAAUAAGUCUUUCAAACAAGCACAUGCUAACACACCCAUGCUGCCAUAAAGUAUAGGGUUCAAGUGUCAUCACCUGGUCCUGGGGCAGUAAUAUCCCAUAUUACUGUAUUACACACCUAGGGGACACACUGCUUAGAUUACCAGGCUGAGCCCAUGUCCUGUACACGCGCUGGGGGGGUGGGGGGGGUGGAACUUCUCACAGCUUUCCGUGACCUUUGCUUUUAUCACAAGCUU
This is a long non-coding RNA of Osmerus eperlanus (European smelt), 394 nucleotides long. RefSeq lists it as uncharacterized. NCBI's taxonomy places the organism in Eukaryota, Metazoa, Chordata, Actinopteri, Osmeriformes, Osmeridae. The record is from RefSeq and is a predicted model, not a curated record. The transcript is spliced from 2 exons.